ACUUCUUGGUUGUCGGCACCA
This 21-nucleotide non-coding RNA is filed under the name Arabidopsis thaliana (thale cress). Lineage: Eukaryota; Viridiplantae; Streptophyta; Magnoliopsida; Brassicales; Brassicaceae. The record is from RNAcentral.